Bos taurus (domestic cattle) is the source of this 635-nucleotide long non-coding RNA. The record is from Ensembl. NCBI's taxonomy places the organism in Eukaryota, Metazoa, Chordata, Mammalia, Artiodactyla, Bovidae.
UGCUCGCCGGCCUGCUCACCUUCAAACAGUAAAGGACUCACGGUGGGUCCGCCGUCUGCCUGGGGAAGGCUCUCUCCAAGUCCGCUUUAAGGACGCAGUUCGUAUGAAAGUGGACGCAGCGCAUUUUCGUGGCCGAGACUGCAAGUCACCGCGCAGAUGAGGCACCCUGAGAGCGCUGGCGGCCUAGAGGCCCUGGACGCUGUGUUGUGUUCUGCAAACGCCUCUCACCGUUAGAGGUGGAACAUGCCUUCCCACCCCAGGAGUUUGUUAUCGUAAGUUGUCCUCCUGAUCUGCCACUUUGAGCAGGUUAGUGACAUCUGCAGAUGGGCGCCUGGACUGAAUCCCAGAGCCCCAUCUACGCCGGGGAGGGGACGUGGAUGGAGUCUCCAGGCGGAAAAAGUCGGAAGCACUGUGUUCCUGAAGCUGCAAGCAGCGUAAUACCGUUAAGAGGAGGAAAAUGAAGCCUGAGUGUUAAGGUGCUGGAGGACUUAUGAAUAUAGAGAAAUUUGGUCCUUAGAGAAAGGGACAGGUAAUAGGCCAAAGUGGCACUGGGCAGCAUGCAGGAUCUCAGUUCCCUGGCCAAGGACGAACCCAUGCCCCUUGCAGUGGAAGCACGGAGUCUUAACCACAACACC